GGCCUGUGAUGCUUAGAUCUUGUCCGUACCAUCUGAUACCUGAUGUAUACAUAAUCUUUACCUUCUGAGGCCU
Ziziphus jujuba (common jujube) is the source of this 73-nucleotide small nucleolar RNA. RefSeq annotates it as small nucleolar RNA snoR117. Lineage: Eukaryota; Viridiplantae; Streptophyta; Magnoliopsida; Rosales; Rhamnaceae. The record is from RefSeq and is a predicted model, not a curated record. The transcript has a single exon.